UACAGAGGGGGGCAAGCGUUGUCCGGAAUCACUGGGCGUAAAGGGCGCGUAGGCGGCUCAUGAAGGCUGUGGUGAAAGUCCGGGGCUCAACCUCGGAUCGGCCGUGGCGACUCGUGGGCUGGAGCACUGUAGAGGCGGGUGGAAUUCCUGGUGUAGCGGUGGAAUGCGUAGAUAUCAGGAAGAACACCGGUGGCGAAGGCGGCCUGCUGGGCUAUGGCUGACACUGAGGCGCGACAGCGUGGGGAGCAAACAGG
RNAcentral lists this ribosomal RNA (254 nucleotides) under uncultured bacterium. RNAcentral describes it as "partial 16S ribosomal RNA". It matches the Rfam family "Bacterial small subunit ribosomal RNA", at positions 524 to 776 of the family's 1533-position model. The record is from RNAcentral.